This 1058-nucleotide ribosomal RNA is filed under the name Lebertia salebrosa. RNAcentral's name for it is "partial large subunit ribosomal RNA". It matches the Rfam family "Eukaryotic large subunit ribosomal RNA", at positions 405 to 1241 of the family's 3401-position model. Lineage: Eukaryota; Metazoa; Arthropoda; Arachnida; Trombidiformes; Lebertiidae. The record is from RNAcentral.
CCGCUUGCAAGUAAACAAAUGGACCCACGAAGUCCAGUUGAGUGAGAGAUUCAUAUACUUCGAGAGGCGAAGUUUGUAGUGCAGUGCUCUUAGUAGUACGGCUACGAACUUGCAGUCAAUUGAGGUGUGCAUUUCUUUUUGCUCACGAUGGAGCUCUGACUGCUUAGCUGUAUACCUUAACUGCUUCGGGCAGCCGUUGAUUGUGGUGCUUACUUUCGAGUAAGAUCUCACUGUUUCUUCGGUGUAGUAAGUGAGGUGAUGCUGAGCAGGUGAAUAACUCACAAUAUGUGAGUGAUGUCAGAUUGUCGAUGUGACUAGUGUGUCAAGUACUUGGUGGAGAGGACCUUUCGUCUCUUGUAGUUGAAAACUUGUCCACUAUACAGUGCUUAAGUGCAUGCUAGAAGCAUCAAUGAUAAUCCAGAGUAAGUAGGUCGGUCAUCCAUUUGACCCGUCUUGAAACACGGACCAAGGAGCCCAACAACUGCGCGAGUCGCUCAGUCUUGCAUAGGCUCGAGAGGCGAAAUAAACAUAAUGGUGUGAUCCUGUGGUUAAACACAGGCGCAACACCAACCUGCUAUAGUUGCUUAAUUGUCAGCUUAGCGGAGUUUGAGCGUAGUUGUUGGUACCCGAAAGAUGGUGAACUAUACUUGGGCAAGACGAAGCCAGAGGAAACUCUGGUGGAGGUCUGUAGCGAUUCUGACGUGCAAAUCGAUCGUCAGACCUGAGUAUAGGGGCGAAAGACUAAUCGAACCAUCUAGUAGCUGGUUCCUUCCGAAGUUUCCCUCAGGAUAGCUGGCACAAACACGGACUCUGUAGCACCCGGUAAAGCGAAUGAUUAGAGGUAUUGGGAUCGAAACGAUCUCAACCUAUUCUCAAACUUAAAAUGGGUGCGGAGCUUGACUUAUUUGGAGUAAAGUCUUGCUUUUGUAAGAGGUGUGCCAAGUGGGCCAUUUUUGGUAAGCAGAACUGGCGCUGUGGGAUGAACCAAACACUGAGUUAAAGUACCGAAUGCGGACGCUCAUGAGACCCCAUGAAAGGUGUUGGUUGCUAUAGACAGC